UACAUAGGUCUCAAGCGUUGUUCGGAUUCAUUGGGCGUAAAGGGUGCGUAGGCGGCGCGGUAAGUCAGUGGUGAAAUAUGGCAGCUUAACUGUCAGGGUGCCAUUGAUACUGCGGAGCUUGAGUACAGAUGAGGUAGGCGGAAUUGACGGUGUAGCGGUGAAAUGCUUAGAUAUCGUCAAGAACACCUAUAGCGAAGGCAGCUUACUAGGCUGUAACUGACGCUGAGGCACGAAAGUGUGGGGAUCAAACAGG
This 253-nucleotide ribosomal RNA is filed under the name uncultured bacterium. RNAcentral's name for it is "partial 16S ribosomal RNA". It matches the Rfam family "Bacterial small subunit ribosomal RNA", at positions 524 to 776 of the family's 1533-position model. The record is from RNAcentral.